ACGCUUACCUGGCAGGGGAGCUACCAUGACCACAAAGGUGUCUUCCCCAGGGUGAGUUUUAUCCAUGGCACUCCUGAUGGGCUGGCCCCUGCCAUUUCCCCAAAUUUGGGGAAUUUGACUGCAUGGGUUGUGGUAGUGGGGGCUGUGUUGUCGCUCUCCUCUG
Molecule: small nuclear RNA, 163 nt
Organism: Cricetulus griseus (Chinese hamster)
Lineage: Eukaryota; Metazoa; Chordata; Mammalia; Rodentia; Cricetidae
Gene: U1
Rfam family: U1 spliceosomal RNA
About the family: U1 is a small nuclear RNA (snRNA) component of the spliceosome (involved in pre-mRNA splicing). Its 5' end forms complementary base pairs with the 5' splice junction, thus defining the 5' donor site of an intron. There are significant differences in sequence and secondary structure between metazoan and yeast U1 snRNAs, the latter being much longer (568 nucleotides as compared to 164 nucleotides in human).
Source: Ensembl